This 2413-nucleotide ribosomal RNA is filed under the name Clostridioides difficile. RNAcentral's name for it is "bacterial LSU rRNA". The stretch from base 343 to 2413 matches the Rfam family "Bacterial large subunit ribosomal RNA", at positions 1 to 2484 of the family's 2925-position model. The record is from RNAcentral. Lineage: Bacteria; Bacillati; Bacillota; Clostridia; Peptostreptococcales; Peptostreptococcaceae.
UUAAUACAAUUCCCGCAAUUAAUGAACCCCACAGGUAGUACGGGUUGUUUAUGGUUUUCCCCCACAGCGUGUUGCCCUAAGGUAACUUAGUAGCCCCAACUCCCGGGUUAAUUCAAACAGGAUAAGGUACCUUUCUGGAAAGGGGGAGGGAAUUUUGAUUUCGGGGAGUGUUGCCCUCCAGGCGUUUCGCGGGGAGUGCUCCCGAGCGCUGCGUUUUUCAUCUUAAAAGCCCGUUGGGUUUAAUUUUCCAAUAAAAAAGAGCGGAGUUUGUUUUGAGGGGGGCGGGUUUUUCCCACUACCCUUAUAUUACUAGUCUUGUUAUGUUCAACAAAAUGCCUCUGCGACCUUGUCACAGGUUUCCUCGGGAUUAUGUCUAACCACGGGGUAACCUGGAGAGACCACCGAACAAGGCUCUUUACUGCCAAAAGACGGAUCGACGUAUAUUACGUAGCCCCAAGGGCGAUAUGAACCCCGUUUAGGGGACUGAAAGUGACCCUGAAACCCUUCGGAUGCAAGCUUUGGAAGCACGAUUUCUUGUGGGACCGCGCUCUUUUGCCUGCGCCGUCCACUGAUUUCCCUUAAGUUCUAUCGCUAGGCACUUAAGGUGCGAACCCUUAGCGGAAGUGAGUCUUACCUGAGGGUUCGGUUAGUUGUUGUAGACCAGUAUCAGGGCGUCCUAGCCUUGAGCAGGACGAAGCGAUAGUAAAGUUUCGUAGAGGUCCGAACCCACGAGCGUUGAAAAGCUCGGGGAUGACUUGUGGGUAGCGGUGAAAUUCCAAUCGAGCCCGGAGAUAGCUGGUUCUCCCCGAAAUAGCUUUAGGGCUAGCCUCAAGGUGAGAGAUACGGAGGUAGAGCACUGAAUGUCCUAGGGGGUAUUGCACCUACCGAAGACUAUCAAACUCCGAAUGCCGUCAUCUUAUACUUGGGAGUCAGACUGUGGGUGAUAAGAUUCAUAGUCGAAAGGGCAACAGCCCAGAUCGUCAGCUAAGGUCCCUAAAUGUAAGUUAAGUGGUAAAGGAUGUGGGAUUGCACAGACAACCAGGAUGUUGGCUUAGAAGCAGCCACUCAUUCAAAGAGUGCGUAAUAGCUCACUGGUCGAGUGAUCCUGCGCCGAAGAUUUCCGGGGCUAAAACUUACUACCGAAGCUACGGCAUCAGUAAUGAUGGGUAGGGGAGCUUCCCAUACGGGUUGAAGCAUGACCGUAAGGACAUGUGGACAGUAUGGGAGUGAGAAUGUUGGCAUGAGUAGCGAGAUGUGGGUGAGAAUCCCACAGGCCGUAAACCCAAGGUUUCCAGGGGAAGGUUCGUCCGCCCUGGGUUAGUCGGGACCUAAGCUGAGGCCGAAAGGCGUAGGUGAUGGACAACAGGUUGAUAUUCCUGUACUACCGAUAACCGUUUGAGAGAAGGGAUGACACAGUAGGAUAAGCUAAGCACACUGUUGGUUAUGUGUGCCCAAGCAUUGAGGCAGUCAAAGUAGGCAAAUCCGCUUUGAUAAUGCUGGGAUGUGAUGGGGAGCGAAAUUUAGUAGCGAAGUAGCUGAUUUCACACUGUCAAGAAAAGUCUCUAUCGAGGUUAAAGGUACCCGUACCGCAAACCGACACAGGUGGGUGAGGAGAGUAUCCUAAGGCCAGCGAGAGAACUGUUGUUAAGGAACUCGGCAAAAUGACCCCGUAACUUAGGGAUAAGGGGUGCCACCAUCAGGUGGCCGCAGAGAAUAGGCCCAAGCGACUGUUUACCAAAAACAUAGGUUUCUGCUAAGUCGCAAGACGAUGUAUAGGAGCUGACGCCUGCCCGGUGCUGGAAGGUUAAGGGGAUCUGUUAGAGCAAUCGAAGCAGUGAACUUAAGCCCCAGUAAACGGCGGCCGUAACUAUAACGGUCCUAAGGUAGCGAAAUUCCUUGUCGGGUAAGUUCCGACCCGCACGAAAGGCGUAACGAUUUGGGCACUGUCUCAACAACAGACUCGGUGAAAUUGUAAUUCCGGUGAAGAUGCCGGAUACCUGCGACAGGACGGAAAGACCCCAUGGAGCUUUACUGUAGCUUGACAUUGGGUCUUGGUACUACAUGUACAGGAUAGGUGGGAGGCUUUGAAACCAGGACGCCAGUUUUGGCGGAGCCAUCCUUGGGAUACCACCCUUGUAGUACUGGGACUCUAACCAUAGGCCAUGAAUCUGGUCUUGGGACACUGUCAGGUGGGCAGUUUGACUGGGGCGGUCGCCUCCCAAAAGGUAACGGAGGCGCUCAAAGGUUCUCUCAGUACGGUCGGAAAUCGUACGUAGAGUGUAAAGGCAAAAGAGAGCUUGAUUGCAAGACAUACAGGUCGAGCAAGGAUGAAAAUCGGACUUAGUGAUCCGGUGGUUCUGCGUGGAAGGGCCAUCGCUCAACGGAUAAAAGCUACCCUGGGGAUAACAGGCUU